RNAcentral lists this long non-coding RNA (746 nucleotides) under Elaeis guineensis (African oil palm). Its description in RNAcentral is "long non-coding RNA (EGUI_LNC070803)". Lineage: Eukaryota; Viridiplantae; Streptophyta; Magnoliopsida; Arecales; Arecaceae. The record is from RNAcentral.
GCUGGUAAACUCUCUCCGGACUCCUACGGGAGCCAGACUCCGUCCCUGACUUUAAUUGCAGGUAGACUUCGCCCAGGCUCCCACGGGAGCCGGACCUCGUCCCCAACUCCGGCUGCAGGUAGACUCCAUCCGGACUCCUACGGGAGCUAGACUUCACCCCCGACGCCAACUGCAGGUCGACUCUGCCCGGACUCCUACGGGAGCCGGGCUUUAUCCUCGACUUCGACUGCUGGUAAACUCUCUCCGGACUCCUAUGGGAGCCGGACUCCGUCGCUGACUUUAAUUGCAGGUGGACUUCGCCCAGGCUCCCACGGGAGCCGGACCUCAUCCCCAACUCCGACUGCAGGUAGACUCCAUCCGAACUCCUACGGGAGCCGGACUUCGCCCCUGACGCCAACUGCAGGUGGACUCCGCCCGGACUCCUAUGGGAGCCGGCUUCAUCCUCGACUUCGACUGCUGGUAAACUCUCUCCAGACUCCUACGGGAGCUGGACUCCGUCCCUGACAUUAAUUGUAGGUAGACUUCACCCGGACUCCUGCGGGAGCCGGACUCCGUCCCCGACCUCAAUUGCAGGCGGACUUCGCCCGGACUCCUACGGGAGCCAGAUCUCGUCUCCGGCUCCAGCUGCGGGAAGACUCCGUCCGGACUCCCACGGGAGCCGUACCUCGCCCCCAACUUUGACUGAAGGAAGACUCCAUCCGGACUCCUACGAGAGCCAGACUCCGAGCUCCUCUCAGACGGGUGGC